RNAcentral lists this ribosomal RNA (115 nucleotides) under Enterobacter cloacae. RNAcentral's name for it is "partial 16S ribosomal RNA". It matches the Rfam family "Bacterial small subunit ribosomal RNA", at positions 1 to 106 of the family's 1533-position model. The record is from RNAcentral. Lineage: Bacteria; Pseudomonadati; Pseudomonadota; Gammaproteobacteria; Enterobacterales; Enterobacteriaceae. RNAcentral also lists the same sequence under 42 other names.
UUAAAUUGAAGAGUUUGAUCAUGGCUCAGAUUGAACGCUGGCGGCAGGCCUAACACAUGCAAGUCGAACGGUAACAGGAAGCAGCUUGCUGCUUUGCUGACGAGUGGCGGACGGG